UUGAACUCAUUACAAGCAAUUUCGCAGAGAAAAAUCGUUUAACUUUUCUCUUCCUUCGGAUAAACUACAAAUCUACCUAUAAAUUCAACCUUGUUUUUACUCUUUUUAUACAACUCUGCAUGCAAAAGCUCAUUUUCCAUAAUGGACUUCCAGUAAUGAACAGCUGACAUUCAACCACCAAUAAAACUGAGCAAACAUAAACAAAAAACAUCUAUGUGAAAAUAAUAAAAUAAACAAUCAAAAAAAUUAAAUUCAACAAAACAAAAAGAACUCCUACCACUGUGCCAUCGUUACCAGGACCGGACCCUACAAAACCACAAAGAAAGAAACAAUGCUGCCUAAAAAAAAGAGAAAAAAAAGGUAACAAACAUAAAAAAAAACUACAAACAACAAACUUAAAGAACUAAACAAAAAUUCAUACAGAAAACAAAUUAACGUUUUAAAAACAACGAGGCCCACAUACAAAACGAAAAUACACCCGCAACAAAACUCAGAUGCCGCUGAUGAGAGUCAGAGGGAGCGGUGUGCGGCUAAGUUUCAGCGUGACCAACGUGGGGAACUCCCACACCCUGAGAUUCUAUCAGCCGGACAUUAACACUUAACUAUUUCCAAUGGUGGCAAUUUGGGUAUCACAAUCCCUACUGAUGUCCCAAUGAAUCAACUAAUAUCAGUCUAAAAUUUGAUUUGGCAUCAUGUGGAAUCAUAUUAACAAAAAUAAGGGACUGCACAACAUCAUAAGAACAACCAAAACUUUAUUUGCCGCAUAAUUCUGUUUGGGCGCCAUAUUCUGUUACGAACCUUCUGUUGGCCACUGGAUUCCACCACCCUACUAGCUCACGCGGCAUCACCUCGGGGCGUGAUUCUCAACCCUUUUGAUGACCAAGGUCCGCUACAAAAUAACUUACAAUUGAACAGCAAAUCAAAUACGUAUUCAACAUACACAGAGCGAAACACACACAUAGGAGAAAGGUGAUAUUCUCCAAUCGCCCAAUCCCAACCAUGGCCGUAUUACAUCCCUUACCAUUAUCUUACGGACCCCAUAAUCCGUCCAUCACGUCCUAUCAUUCAAUAAUCCCAAUAACGUAUUUACUCAAUUUUAUUCAUU
Long non-coding RNA from Lucilia sericata (common green bottle fly), 1105 nucleotides. RefSeq lists it as uncharacterized. Lineage: Eukaryota; Metazoa; Arthropoda; Insecta; Diptera; Calliphoridae. The transcript is spliced from 3 exons. The record is from RefSeq and is a predicted model, not a curated record.